AUCAAGUGACGAGUCCCAGACUGGACGAAAUGCGCAUGCUGGAU
RNAcentral lists this non-coding RNA (44 nucleotides) under Trichobilharzia regenti. The record is from RNAcentral. Lineage: Eukaryota; Metazoa; Platyhelminthes; Trematoda; Strigeidida; Schistosomatidae.